GUAGCGACAAGGCAAGUGAGAACCUUGCCCGCCGAAAGACCAAGGGUUCCUGGGCCAGGCCAGUCCGCCCAGGGUGAGUCGGGACCUAAGGCGAGGCCGACAGGCGUAGUCGAUGGACAACGGGUUGAUAUUCCCGUACCCGUGUGUGGGCGCCCGUGACGAAUCAGCGGUACUAACCACCCAAAACCGGAUCGAUCACUCCCCUUCGGGGGUGUGGAGUUCUGGGGCUGCGUGGGAACUUCGCUGGUAGUAGUCAAGCGAAGGGGUGACGCAGGAAGGUAGCCGUACCAGUCAGUGGUAACACUGGGGCAAGCCGGUAGGGAGAGCGAUAGGCAAAUCCGUCGCUCACUAAUCCUGAGAGGUGACGCAUAGCCGGUUGAGGCGAAUUCGGUGAUCCUCUGCUGCCAAGAAAAGCCUCUAGCGAGCACACACACGGCCCGUACCCCAAACCGACACAGGUGGUCAGGUAGAGCAUACCAAGGCGUACGAGAUAACUAUGGUUAAGGAACUCGGCAAAAUGCCCCCGUAACUUCGGGAGAAGGGGGACCGGAAUAUCGUGAACACCCUUGCGGUGGGAGCGGGAUCCGGUCGCAGAAACCAGUGAGGAGCGACUGUUUACUAAAAACACAGGUCCGUGCGAAGUCGCAAGACGAUGUAUACGGACUGACGCCUGCCCGGUGCUGGAAGGUUAAGAGGACCCGUUAACCCGCAAGGGUGAAGCGGAGAAUUUAAGCCCCAGUAAACGGCGGUGGUAACUAUAACCAUCCUAAGGUAGCGAAAUUCCUUGUCGGGUAAGUUCCGACCUGCACGAAUGGCGUAACGACUUCUCAACUGUCUCAACCAUAGACUCGGCGAAAUUGCACUACGAGUAAAGAUGCUCGUUACGCGCGGCAGGACGAAAAGACCCCGGGACCUUCACUACAACUUGGUAUUGAUGUUCGGUACGGUUUGUGUAGGAUAGGUGGGAGACUGUGAAACCUCGACGCCAGUUGGGGCGGAGUCAUUGUUGAAAUACCACUCUGAUCGUAUUGGGCAUCUAACCUCGAACCCUGAAUCGGGUUUAGGGACAGUGCCUGGCGGGUAGUUUAACUGGGGCGGUUGCCUCCUAAAAUGUAACGGAGGCGCCCAAAGGUUCCCUCAACCUGGACGGCAAUCAGGUGGCGAGUGUAAAUGCACAAGGGAGCUUGACUGCGAGACUUACAAGUCAAGCAGGGACGAAAGUCGGGAUUAGUGAUCCGGCACCCCCGAGUGGAAGGGGUGUCGCUCAACGGAUAAAAGGUACCCCGGGGAUAACAGGCUGAUCUUCCCCAAGAGUCCAUAUCGACGGGAUGGUUUGGCACCUCGAUGUCGGCUCGUCGCAUCCUGGGGCUGGAGCAGGUCCCAAGGGUUGGGCUGUUCGCCCAUUAAAGCGGCACGCGAGCUGGGUUUAGAACGUCGUGAGACAGUUCGGUCUCUAUCCGCCGCGCGCGUCAGAAACUUGAGGAAACCUGUCCCUAGUACGAGAGGACCGGGACGGACGAACCUCUGGUGCACCAGUUGUCCCGCCAGGGGCACCGCUGGAUAGCCACGUUCGGUCAGGAUAACCGCUGAAAGCAUCUAAGCGGGAAACCUUCUCCAAGAUCAGGUUUCUCACCCACUUGGUGGGAUAAGGCCCCCCGCAGAACACGGGUUCAAUAGGUCAGACCUGGAAGCUCAGUAAUGGGUGUAGGGAACUGGUGCUAACCGGCCGAAAACUUACAACACCC
This 1745-nucleotide ribosomal RNA is filed under the name Mycobacterium tuberculosis. RNAcentral describes it as "bacterial LSU rRNA". It matches the Rfam family "Bacterial large subunit ribosomal RNA", at positions 1306 to 2925 of the family's 2925-position model. The record is from RNAcentral. Lineage: Bacteria; Bacillati; Actinomycetota; Actinomycetes; Mycobacteriales; Mycobacteriaceae.